This 254-nucleotide ribosomal RNA is filed under the name uncultured prokaryote. RNAcentral's name for it is "partial 16S ribosomal RNA". It matches the Rfam family "Bacterial small subunit ribosomal RNA", at positions 522 to 775 of the family's 1533-position model. The record is from RNAcentral.
AAUACAGAGGUCCCGAGCGUUGUUCGGAUUCACUGGGCGUAAAGGGUGCGUAGGUGGCAUGGUAAGUUUGAUGUGAAAGCUCAGGGCUCAACCCUGAAAUGGCAUUGAAUACUACUGUGCUGGAGGUUUGGAGGGGGGACUGGAAUUCUUGGUGUAGCAGUGAAAUGCGUAGAUAUCAAGAGGAACACCAGUGGCGAAGGCGAGUCCCUGGACAACACCUGACACUGAGGCACGAAAGCCGGGGGAGCAAACAG